This 253-nucleotide ribosomal RNA is filed under the name uncultured bacterium. Its description in RNAcentral is "partial 16S ribosomal RNA". It matches the Rfam family "Bacterial small subunit ribosomal RNA", at positions 524 to 776 of the family's 1533-position model. The record is from RNAcentral.
UACGGAGGGGGCUAGCGUUGUUCGGAAUUACUGGGCGUAAAGCGCACGUAGGCGGCUUUGUAAGUUAGAGGUGAAAGCCCGGGGCUCAACUCCGGAAUUGCCUUUAAGACUGCAUCGCUCGAAUUGUGGAGAGGUAAGUGGAAUUCCGAGUGUAGAGGUGAAAUUCGUAGAUAUUCGGAAGAACACCAGUGGCGAAGGCGGCUCACUGGCCCGUAACUGACGCUGAGGCACGAAAGCGUGGGGAGCAAACAGG